This 271-nucleotide unclassified non-coding RNA is filed under the name Allomyces arbusculus. RNAcentral's name for it is "partial internal transcribed spacer region". The stretch from base 1 to 46 matches the Rfam family "Eukaryotic small subunit ribosomal RNA", at positions 1786 to 1831 of the family's 1831-position model. RNAcentral also lists the same sequence under 1 other name. The record is from RNAcentral. Lineage: Eukaryota; Fungi; Blastocladiomycota; Blastocladiomycetes; Blastocladiales; Blastocladiaceae.
AAGUCGUAACAAGGUUUCCGUAGGUGAACCUGCGGAAGGAUCAUUAUUAAUUCUUCUAGUGAAGCGGCUGCGCGUUUUUUUUUUAAAAAACCGCGCGGCUGUUUUUCUUGUGAACUGGGGCUGUUAGUUUUAGUGUUUUUUUUUAACGCUUUUUCUAGCGGCCCGUCGUUAAUGCUCUUGUGUUAAUUUUUUUUUGUUUUUGCUUUUUUAAGCCUAGCCGCUUAAGAAAAUAAUUACAAGACAACUUUCAGCAAUGGAUCUCUUGGCUCUU